UCACAUUUACCCAAGGGUGGGUGAGAACACAGGUCCGGGUUCGACAAGUCGGCGUAGCCGUCUUGAACGCAGGAGCGUCAGCGAGGGCGGUACAAUAUCUAAAGGUCUUGAACGCAGGAGCGUGAGCGAGGGCGGCCCGCAGGGCGAGGGGCGAAGCCACGAGUAAUCCCACCCUCUCCGCCA
This 183-nucleotide small RNA is filed under the name Mariprofundaceae bacterium. RNAcentral's name for it is "RtT sRNA". Lineage: Bacteria; Pseudomonadati; Pseudomonadota; Candidatius Mariprofundia; Mariprofundales; Mariprofundaceae. The record is from RNAcentral.